GGGCUCCACUGCAGGGCCAGCCAGGUCACUCCAGCUUCAACGAGCACCGGGGGUGGUGGGGCUGGGGGGACCAUUCCUGCUGUGUAGUACGUCACUGUCUCACUAAACCCACUCAUUCCAAUAUCGUUUUUAGCAGCUAGUCUAAGCGAGUAUUUUGUGGAAGGAGAAAGUUUGGUGAGCUUAUACUGCUUCAGGUGCCCGUAGUAGCAUUCUUUGAAGGGUCCGUUCUUCC
Molecule: long non-coding RNA, 232 nt
Filed under: Gallus gallus (chicken)
Lineage: Eukaryota; Metazoa; Chordata; Aves; Galliformes; Phasianidae
Source: RNAcentral